ACAUAGCCUAGAAUAGGUUAGG
This 22-nucleotide microRNA is filed under the name Dinoponera quadriceps. Its description in RNAcentral is "dqu-miR-282-3p". Its record names the gene dqu-miR-282-3p. Lineage: Eukaryota; Metazoa; Arthropoda; Insecta; Hymenoptera; Formicidae. The record is from miRBase by way of RNAcentral.